CAGCCACGCCAACAGGACUGACUCCGUGCGGACCCUUCCCCAUCACCUCCACGCGCACAUUUGCUCUCUCCUCUCCUCCCCUUUGCACUCCUCAUCCUCUUUUUUCUUCCUUCAUCCUUGGGUAUUUCAGGCCCCGCACAUCCAUUGGAGAGCCCCCCUCACUUUCUGACACCCUGUGGCCCGGUGCCUUCCUGCAUCCCCGAGGUGAGGGAAUCUGACUUCCUUGGUUGGUGGCGCGGGGGGGGGGGACCUCAGGAGACCCUAACCGCUUGCAUCCCUGACUGUUGGGGGUGUGGGGAUAGGAGGGGCUCAGGAGGGAAGCAGUCACUGUCGGAGGCAGGACCCCCAGAUUCCAUCCCGUUCUCACCUGCUGCCUGUAAUAAAAAUUGUCAUGAACUCAUUAUUUUCUGGGUAAACUCACUUCUCACAACAACCCUGCUCAGGAGGCUUUAUUCCCAUUUGGCAGAGAAGUUCGAGGAGGAGAGAAGUCCAAUGACUUAUCAAAGGUGGCGGAGCUGCCUAUCGCAGAGACUUGAGUGGAGGCAGACCUGUCUCCAAAGCGCUUUUCAACCAAUUCUUUCCAACCAGUUCAGGACGCGGGAAGUUCCGGUUUCUGAAAGCAGGGAAGCAGAGGUUGAACGGCCACUUAUACAGGAGAGAGCGCAGUCCAGGGGAAGUUUCCUUCCAGUCCUGAGAUGCUAAGAGUCUAGGUUCCGAUCUGGAUUUUCUCUGACCGAUGUGUGCCUCUUGGGAGCAGCGUUGGGGCGCCUCAGUGAGUUCUGGUCACUGGAGAGGCAGGAAUCCUGGGUUGCCCAGGGUGGGGACAAGGGGCCGGAGGGGAGGGCGCUAGGGAGAAGUAACCAGCUUAAUAAAGUCACCUCUCUUGUUCCUCUUCUUGCUGGUUUUUUCUUAUUGCCCUGGGCUGAUCUCAGAGUCCCCAAAGGGCAGUAUUUUAAAACACAUUCAGUUUGGAACAGAAGUGUCACCAAGGCUGCAAUGUGCACGAUAUAGAUUGUAACAAAACAAGCCCAGGGCAGGGAGCAGGAGGGGCAGCUUGAAAUCUGUGGCUGCUGCAGGUUUGUGGUGUGACGUUGGGUCAUCUUCCCCACCUGUUUAGUCAUGGCUGAGGACCCUCUGGUUUCUGAUGCUCGGUUUUCUGGGAGGGAAGCAGGCUCACCUGUGUGCCCAUGGAGCUGGAGCUGCACCACGGGGCUCUGCAGGAGGCAGGGUGUGGCUGGUGUUGACUCGGUUUCCCUGCUUGCCAGCCCCCAGGCUCCUGACCCUCAGAAGUGGAGCAAGAUAAGAUGACUUUAAGCUUCUUUGGGGGUAGCUUGUUAUGCACCAGUAAAUAACGGAACCACUCAUCUGAUCAUGUGGCAGAGAUGGUGGGUGGGGGGCUGGCUGACAGCCUGGGAGUCUUCACAUGGGGGCCGUCUCAGGCUUCCCAGUGCAGCAAGAUGGGCCAAGCCCCAAUGCGUAAGUGCUUUGUAAGCCUCUGCUUGCAUCAUCUUUGCCAACAGCCACUGGCGAAAGCAAAUCCUUCACCCAACUCAUCAUAUUCCGGGGGUGAGGAGACAGACCCCAUCUUCUGAAGGCUGGGGAAGAACUUGGGGCUGCUUUUUUGCCAUCGCAGAACUGGAGGCUCCUGCCCUCAACACCCCUCCCGUCUCCGCUUCCUCACUCUUGAGCAGCCUCCUUUUUCUGAGACUCUGCGCCUAAAUCAACACUUCCUGAGCGCCUGUGAUGGGGCAGGUGUUUUCACCACCAUGGCCUUGUGGGCGAGGAAUGCAGGUUCAGAAAGACAAGGUGGUGGCCUGAGUCAUAAAGCUGGUAACUGGUAGGGCCAGGAUCCAGCCCAGGUCGAGGAAUUCCAAGCUUGGCAUUGGUUUUACUUUCGCUGUCAAGAUGCCCAGAACUUUCCAUUUACCUCGGUCUUUUCAGACACACACACAGGCAGAAUAUGUGGAGACGGGUCCUGGCUGGGUUCUCCCCAGGCACCCCUGUUCUGGGACUGCUGGUUGGGGCUGGAGGGAAUCAGUCUGUCUGUCUGGGGCAGGAAGUUUGGGCAAAAUGAACAGACUCUAGGGGGCGACAAAGGCCAAGGUGCCUUCUCAUUGCUACCCUCUGCUCCGUCCCCUUCUUCCUUAGAGGAGGGAGAUGCUGGCCAGCAGGAGAGAACUGUCAUCUUCAGGCUCUAAGAAACCAGGGGAGGUGAGGAAAGAGAAGGAAGGGGAAAGAGAAGGAGGGAGAAGAGAGAGGCAAUAAGGUAAAAAUAGAGGGAAAAUGAUAAAAAGACAAUUGGAGAGAUAUUGAGGCGUAAGACAGAGAGAGAUGGGAAUAAAGAAAAAAAGAGGGACCGAUGGGAAAAUCAACUCUAAGACGGGUGGAGAGGAACAGAGACAGGGAGACAGAGAAGCUUGGAGAGAGAUGAGACAGAGAAGGGCUGAAGGGAGAGAGAUAGGAAGCGGGCAGAGCGGUGGCUGAAGGAGGCGGGAGGAGACGUUAGUUGUGCUGUGUGCCCUCGCUAGGGCAGGUCGGCUCUCUGAGCUCCAUCGCCCAUCAAUAAAAAAGGACUGCCUUAUGGAGCAGGCGUGAGGAUGACCUGAGCAAAUACACGGAGGACUCUGGAAAUGCUAAAGCAAGUGUGAACCCACCAUUGCUAGUGCUGACAGUAUUACUCUUAAGUCAUGGUGGGAGAAGGUAAUGCUGGAAGAGAAUGUCGGAACAGGCGAGACGCUUCAUGCCUCUUCUGUAAGGAGCAUCUUGAUACCAGGGCACUGUUCCAUGUAAGAUGCCCGAUUAGUCUACUCGGGGCGGGGGAGAGUGGCUGUAUCACAGAUACAUAAUCAAGAGAAAUAACUGAGAGCACACAAUUGCUCCUGCAACUGCUCUCUUUGUUUUUUAGGAUCACAGUCGGUGUUUGAGUGCACAGUGGACAACCGUCUACACGAUAUGCUGUAGGUCAUCAACCGAUCAGAACGUCGUGGUGAUGCUGCUUUUACGCAUCUCAUGUCAGUGAACUUAAGUUUUUUAAGACUGACAGUGUGAUCUCAAGACAUACUGAAGACUAACGGUGUUUUGUGUGGAUUUCUGCUUUGGAUAAACACGCAGUGCCCCUCCACUCUCCCCGUGAACUGCACUGCAUAUUGCUGGAAGUUAAACAGCUUUUCUUGAAAGUUCGCUGGAAGCUUUUGACAGGUAGGUGUUUAGUGUCUCCAUUAUGAGACUUGAUGGAUCAAUUUGUCAGACCCACCUCACACCACUCAGAAAAUUCUCUGAUUUAUUUGUGAAGACUGGGCAAUUUUUUGCUGCCAGUAACUUCACUGGCUGGUGGGUGGCAGGCCAUUUCUUGCAUAAACAGUAACUUUUUUUUUUUCCAUAUCACCAUGCCAUCGUUUUGAAGACAUUUAAAGCGGUAACUAGGGAUCCACAUUUAGUUUAUAACACUGUUAUUGUCAUUGUAAAUCACACACUGAAGUGACACUGCAUAAACAUGACAACGACCUGACAACGUGCUCCUCCUCUUGGAAGCGGACCCACGAUGAUAACACACAUUCUGAUUUCAGAAAUUAUAAAGUGUAAAGAAGAACAAAUCUAGGAAAUGCUGGUGGAUGAGAACAAUGGAAAUGACCUGAGAUCACUUAUUGAUAAGAGAGAAAAAAAUGAAUGUCUUUAAAAAGUCCUGAUUAUAUCUAGUGUAUUAAAACAAUUCAAAAUUGCUGCUUGGGAUGCUUUUGCCUCAUUUGAAGGAAUGAGAUGCUAUGCCUGCAAUACUCAUUGCUGCCACCAGGGAGCGGUAGUGUCUUGAACGGCCUGAGUAUCUGAACUUUCCCCAUGGGGUCUAUCAAGUGUCAAAGGUUCAUGCACUUAACUGGUCCGUCCCUGCCUCCCUCACCCAGUAAAAUAAAUCUGGUUUGAAUCCUGGUUCUGGCACUUAGUAGCUGUGUGGCCUUGGGCAAGUUAGCUUUCUCACUUGAGGGGAAGGGGAUAAAGUAGUGUCUUUCAGGACUUUUAGGCAUUUUAUUUUUUAGAACGCUUCUCAACUUACCAAGACCCCUCGGACCGUGUACCUCCAGCUGCCCACACACCCUGCCACGUGGUUAAUGUUCACAGCUCAGCUGUGAGCUGCCCAGGGCAGGGAGCGUAACUGAUACCUGGGCUAAGCCCUUACCUUGGCGCAGGUAUCAAUCUGGACUUACACAGCAGUCGAGGCUACUGUUUAUUGAGCAUGUACUCAGUACCCAUCUCAAGGCCAGUUCUUUUCAUCCUCACAGCAACCCCCGUGUGGUCGGUAGCAUUACUGUGCCCAUUCCACAGAGGAGGGAAUCCCCAGGGCUGUGGGAAGAUUAAAUGACUUAAUGCUUAAAACUUGCUGGCACAGUGCCUAGGACAUAGCAAGGGCUGUGUUCACAGUGCUUAUUAUUUAUGGGGAAGGGGUCAGGCCUGUGGACUGAGAAGUAUAAAACAGCAAAGAAGGAGUUCCCGUCGUGGCGCAGUGGUUAACGAAUCAGACUAGGAACCAUGUGGUUGCGGGUUCGAUCCCUGGCCUUGCUCAGUGAGUUAAAGAUCUGGCAUUGCCAUUAACUGUGGUGUAGGUUGCAGAUGCGGCUCGGAUCUCAAGUUGCUGUGGCUCUGGUGUAGGCCGGUGGCUACAGCUCCGAUUGGACCCCCGGCCUGGGAACCUCCAUAUGCUGCGGGAGCGGCUCAAGAAAAGGCAAAAAGACCAAAAAAAAAAAAAAAAAAAAAAAAAAA
Molecule: long non-coding RNA, 4752 nt
Filed under: Sus scrofa (pig)
Lineage: Eukaryota; Metazoa; Chordata; Mammalia; Artiodactyla; Suidae
Description: lncRNA (ENSSSCG00065048271.1)
Source: RNAcentral